Molecule: long non-coding RNA, 585 nt
Organism: Cyanistes caeruleus (blue tit)
Lineage: Eukaryota; Metazoa; Chordata; Aves; Passeriformes; Paridae
Source: RefSeq, a predicted model, not a curated record
CCUUCACACUGGCCAUGUAGGAUCGUUAAAAGCAACUCCACAACACAAGGGUCCUCUGAGAGACUGGGCAAGGAAGACACCUGCCUAAUUUCCUCGCAAGACAGAAAGCCCAACCUUUUGGGUCCUUGAAACACCCUCUUCUGAGUCUCUGCCAAGGAUGUAUGGAGUCUCUGGACCAGUCACUACAGACUGCCUUUGCUGAAGGACCUGUUGGCAUGAGAAGGCAUUUUUGAGAUGCAUUAAACAUGCUAGUUAUACAAAAGAGCGUGAUGAAAUUGUUGCAUUCGUACAUGAAGGCACAGAGGCGAGCAUCAUUUUCAUGAAACCAUCAAGAAGGGAUGCACCUGCUGUUUCAGGAACGCACAGCCAUGACACAGUUGUGCUGGAAACACAGCUUUGGACUGUGCCAUUUGGUGGGACAAUGACCAAGCCACAGUGCAGCUCAGGGAAAUCCAUGAAGCAGAAGAGGAAGGUCAUUGAAACAGCUUUUCUCCAGUUAACCAUAACUGCGUAAACUUACCAUUCCAGUCAACCUGUGCUCAUGCUACCAAAAGACACAAUGCCUGAAAUACAAUUUUCAAGCUA